RNAcentral lists this ribosomal RNA (460 nucleotides) under uncultured bacterium. Its description in RNAcentral is "partial 16S ribosomal RNA". It matches the Rfam family "Bacterial small subunit ribosomal RNA", at positions 338 to 795 of the family's 1533-position model. The record is from RNAcentral.
CCUACGGGGGGCAGCAGUGAGGAAUAUUGGUCAAUGGGCGUAAGCCUGAACCAGCCAAGUCGCGUGAGGGAUGAAGGUCUUAUGGAUCGUAAACCCUUUUUACAAGGGAAUAAAGUGUGGGACGUGUCCUGUUUUGUAUGUACCUUAUGAAUAAGGAUCGGCUAACUCCGUGCCAGCAGCCGCGGUAAUACGGAGGAUGCGAGCGUUAUCCGGAUUUAUUGGGUUUAAAGGGUGCGUAGGCGGCCUUUUAAGUCAGCGGUGAAAGUCUGUGGCUCAACCAUAGAAUUGCCGUUGAAACUGGCAGGCUUGAGUAUGUGUGAGGCAGGCGGAAUGCGUGGUGUAGCGGUGAAAUGCUUAGAUAUCACGCAGAACCCCGAUUGCGAAGGCAGCCUGCCGGGCCAUAACUGACGCUGAUGCACGAAAGCGUGGGGAUCAAACAGGAUUAGAUACCCGAGUAGUC